This 461-nucleotide ribosomal RNA is filed under the name uncultured bacterium. Its description in RNAcentral is "partial 16S ribosomal RNA". It matches the Rfam family "Bacterial small subunit ribosomal RNA", at positions 28 to 505 of the family's 1533-position model. The record is from RNAcentral.
GAUGAACGCUGACAGAGUGCUUAACACAUGCAAGUCUUUGGCGAAGCUGUGCUUGCACAGCCUAGCCAAGGCGGACGGGUGAGUAACGCGUAAGGAACUUGCCCUGCAGUCAGGGAUAACAGACGGAAACGACUGAUAAGACCUGGUAAAGUCAGGCGGACUCAUGUCCAGCCUGAUGAAAAGAGAUGCUGCAGGAGAGCCUUGCGUCCUAUUAGCUUGUUGGUGGGGUAACGGCCCACCAAGGCGAUGAUAGGUAGCCGGCCUGAGAGGGUGGACGGCCACAAGGGGACUGAGAUACGGCCCUUACUCCUACGGGAGGCAGCAGUGGGGAAUAUUGGACAAUGGGGGCAACCCUGAUCCAGCAAUUCUGUGUGCACGAUGAAGGUUUUCGGAUUGUAAAGUGCUUUCAGCAGGGAAGAAAAAAAUGACGGUACCUGCAGAAGAAGCGACGGCUAAAUACG